CCAAACUUGGUCAUUUAGAGGAAGUAAAAGUCGUAACAAGGUUUCCAUAUAAGGGUGUAUGUUGUAGAAUCCUUCAUGAAGCCUUGGAACUCAAGUUACUGGUUACAAGGGGGUUUAUGUAAAGCCCGUGUUUCAAGUAGCAACACCGCCCUCUUGCUAGGAUGUCCAUCAUAGACUACCAGCAGCUUUGGUGCAAGCAUCGCUUACCCAAAAGUCCACAGAUCAAACGGCGGUGGUUCGAACUUUCCUUGCCGUAGGUGAACCUGCGGAAGGAUCAUUACAGAGAACUUGCCCUUCAGGGUAAUCUCCCACCCUUUGUUUACAAUACCAUGUUGCUUUGGCAGGCCCGUCUUCUUGACCACUGGCCUUGGCUGGUCCGUGCCUGCCAGAGGAUUAAAAACCCUAGUUUUUUGUGUUUCUGAGUUUUGUUUCAAUAGUUAAAACUUUCAACAACGGAUCUCUUGGUUCUGGCAUCGAUGAAGAACGCAGC
This 490-nucleotide unclassified non-coding RNA is filed under the name uncultured fungus. Its description in RNAcentral is "partial contains small subunit ribosomal RNA, internal transcribed spacer 1, and 5.8S ribosomal RNA". The stretch from base 442 to 490 matches the Rfam family "5.8S ribosomal RNA", at positions 1 to 49 of the family's 154-position model. The record is from RNAcentral. Lineage: Eukaryota; Fungi.